Non-coding RNA from Myotis lucifugus (little brown bat), 64 nucleotides. NCBI's taxonomy places the organism in Eukaryota, Metazoa, Chordata, Mammalia, Chiroptera, Vespertilionidae. The record is from Rfam.
GGCCUCCCUCUGUGGGGUGAUCGAUCUGAGGGCCCUGCGAUUGAUCACCCCGCAGAGGGAGGCC